This is a long non-coding RNA of Rosa rugosa (rugosa rose), 2150 nucleotides long. RefSeq lists it as uncharacterized. NCBI's taxonomy places the organism in Eukaryota, Viridiplantae, Streptophyta, Magnoliopsida, Rosales, Rosaceae. The record is from RefSeq and is a predicted model, not a curated record. The transcript is spliced from 4 exons.
CGAAUCAAGAGAGCGGCGGCCAGUCGGCGCGACUCACUUCAGAGAACGACUCCGUUGUGGGAUUCGAAGGAUUUGCCUGUAGAAGGAUUCUAGGAGUCGCCGGUCGGAGGCGAAGUAAUCUUAACUUCCCAUCGUUUGCUUUGUGGAAACCUAGACCUAAGAAUAUGCUGCUUGACUAGAAACAACAGAGCCUCAAGAUUGGCGAUGGGAUCAGUCAGUCUUUCACUUUCUUUUGCGAGUUUUUAUGCUGGACAUGGUCACUCUCUGUUACCAGGUGCUGGAGAUUUUGCUUGGGUCCACAGAUUACUUGACUUGGCGGACAUUUGGAACCUCGGCUGCAUCUUCGGUUUUCGCACGAUUUACACCUCUACAAUGUGGCUGGAUUCUUGGACUAAGAAUGAGAUGGACCUGGGUUUCUUGGUAUAUAAAUAUGCAGUGCGCUUUGGGUUGUCUUCAAAGAGCUUUUGUGACCUUAUCACUGAUAUGGGUUCUCAUGGGUGUACAGGGGUGGAAUUAUGAUUUCUUAUUUUGAAAGUUGAUGAUUAUACUUCUUGAAUCUCCAUAUAUUGCAGCUUUUUACCAUUUGGAAUUGUAUUAAUAAGGUCAUAUCUACUAUAUCAAGUUAAUCGAGAGAUGCUAGUAUGACAUGCAAGAUGUAAUAUAUACCGGUCAUGACAUUGUUGAUGCAUGUAAGAGCAGUAAGUUCCUUUAUUUGAAUCAAUAGAUUUAACUUUGACCUCAACUAGCAACCUUCCAUGGAUACAUGUCACCUCAACUAGCAAUUUGACUUAAAUGUCUACAUUGGUAUCAUUCUUUGUCACAACAUUUCUGAUACAAUCUGUUUACUUAGGUGCUGAUCUCCAAAAGGGAAUAGCCAGAGGCUCCUCUUUCCCCUGCAAUGGAUGCUGUAAUAAGAGUAUUCAAACGUGUCGCUGGAUUAUCUAAGUGUGCAGGCGAGGCAGAGUUGUCUGGUGCUGCUGGAGUUGCAUUCUGUUCCAUCCGUUUGUUGGUAGCAUCCACACAAGCGAUUAAUUUAAUUGGAAAACAAGGAUCAUUAAUCAAAUCUAUAGAGGAGAGUACCGCUGCUUCUGUGCGAGUGUUGUCUGGAGGGCCUUGGAUUACAAGUUGUGAAAUAUUUGGCUGCCAAAUAUGAAGAGCUAGGGUGUGAAGUGAAAUGGAUGGGCAAGCCUGAUAAGGUGAUCUAGUCACAUUGGUCUGGUUACCGCUGUUAACUUCACUUCAUGUGAACCUUUAGCUUAAUACAUAUUUCUCUUGCACUUGACUACUAAGAUGAAUUUUGAGCAAGGCUAGUUUUUGCUUUGAAGCAAAGUUUGGUGUUGAAAUUUUGUAGAUUGUUGCUCAUAUGUUUCUAGGCUAGCCUUUGUAGGUUUUGGGGUUUUCUUUUGUGACAUAUGUUCAAUCAUGAAUUUGGAAAGAAAAUUAAGGAGAGCCCCAAUUUUUGGAUGAUUAUGAAAUGCAUUUCUUUUCCUAGCAGCAGCUAGAUGCAAACUUAGCUCAUCACGCUUGUCAAAAUGAAGUGAAGUAUAUAAAAGCAUAACAAAACAGUAAUGCCAAGGAAAACGAAGUCACUUGAGAGAUUAGAAAUCAGUAUCAAAAUAAAAAUCGAUGUCUUAUGAUUAUUAAUGUAUCGAGUUGUGUCUGCAGAACCGAUGUACUCAAAAUCAGUGCACAUUGAUUUUACAAAACAAAAGCGAUGUCUACAAUGAAACAACACAUCGGUUCUAGAAAAAGCAAGCGAUGUACAUAAAACCAUUGAACAUCGUUUUGCUUAAAUGAAAACGAUGUGCUGUGUUAAAUGAAACAUCAGGCCUUAAAAAAAAACCGAUGACGCCUAAAGAUACAGACAUCGGUCCCAAGAAAAUAAUGUGCCAAGCUACAUGUAAAAAUGCCCACGAACAAACCAUACUCAUGGCAACUGAUGUCUACAAGUGUACUGGACAUCGCUUAUGGAAUAGAAAUCGAUGCAAAUGUUCACGUAGGUAUUGUUUGACAUAUACUUUAUUAAGCAUAAAAUGUGAAAAUAUGAAGAAUUAGACAUACCUAACAUACAAAAAUAUGAUGAUUAUAACGAUUAUACAUCGAUUUAUUUGUUAGAAUCGAUGUUGGUUGUUGUCUGGGACAUCGGUUGA